AGCGAACGCUGGCGGCAGGCCUAACACAUGCAAGUCGAACGAACUCUUCGGAGUUAGUGGCGGACGGGUGAGUAACACGUGGGAACGUGCCUUUUGGUUCGGAAUAACUCAGGGAAACUUGUGCUAAUACCGAAUGUGCCCUUCGGGGGAAAGAUUUAUCGCCAUUAGAGCGGCCCGCGUCUGAUUAGCUAGUUGGUGAGGUAACGGCUCACCAAGGCGACGAUCAGUAGCUGGUCUGAGAGGAUGACCAGCCACACUGAGACUGAGACACGGCCCAGACUCCUACGGGAGGCAGCAGUGGGGAAUCUUGCGCAAUGGGCGAAAGCCUGACGCAGCCAUGCCGCGUGAAUGAUGAAGGUCUUAGGAUUGUAAAAUUCUUUCACCGGGGACGAUAAUGACGGUACCCGGAGAAGAAGCCCCGGCUAACUUCGUG
RNAcentral lists this ribosomal RNA (433 nucleotides) under uncultured bacterium. Its description in RNAcentral is "partial 16S ribosomal RNA". It matches the Rfam family "Bacterial small subunit ribosomal RNA", at positions 29 to 507 of the family's 1533-position model. The record is from RNAcentral.